CACGGAGUGGGGAACUGCCGGCUCCGAACAGUCAUCUCUGCUUUAGAGGAUAGUUAGUGCUGAUAUCAGUAUUCACAGUCGACGGUCAUUGCUGAGGUCAAACGGAAUAAUUUAAAGAGGAAAAUUACGCAGUCAUUAGUUACAUAUUCGCAACCAUGAACAUUAAUUUCGAAGGGAAACGGGUACUCGUAACAGGCGCCGGACAAGGCAUUGGCAGGGACAUCGCUCUUCGUCUCUCUCAAUACAAAGCCCAAGUAAUAGCAUUGUCAAAGACGAAAAAGAACCUGGAGAAAUUGUGCGCAGAAGAUCCACGUAUUCAAAGCGUCUGUGUCGAUCUUCGCGACUGGGACGCUACCAAGAGAGCUGUACAAAGCGUCUUACCCAUCGAUCUCUUGGUGAACAAUGCCGGUGUCGCUCAUUUGAAGCCUUUCUUAGAUGCCACACCGGAAGAUUUCGAUUCAACUUUCGCUGUAAACGUGAAAGCUAUCAUGAAUGUUUCCCAGGUGGUCGCUAGAAACAUGAUCGAGAGGAAGGUUCCUGGUAGCAUCGUCAACAUAUCUUCUCAGGCUAGCCAGGCAGCUUUGAAAGACCACGCUGUCUAUUGCUCUUCCAAGGGAGCUGUUGACAUGUUGUCUAAAACGAUGGCCCUUGAACUUGGUCCGUACAAUAUUCGAGUGAACACGGUGAAUCCUACGGUGAUCAUGACAGAAAUGGGAAAACUAGGCUGGAGUGACCCAGACAAAGCACGAACCAUGUUAAGUAAAAUACCUCUGGGUCGGUUCGGCGAGGUAAGCGAAGUGGUGGAUGCAGUCGUGUAUCUGUUGAGCAAUCGCAGCUCUAUGAUCAAUGGAGUCACCUUACCUGUGGAUGGUGGAUUUUUAGCAAUGUAAUUCGUGAAAUAAGGGACAGUUUAAUAACAGAUGAACCAAAUAUCCAAGAUACCAUGGUAUAGAGAUAAACGAUUUUAUGUUUGUUUGUAUGCAACGCGUCCACGAUACUUUAUACAACACGAUAAUCAAGGGAAGAGAAGGAGAACGGGUUAACAGGAUGUGUCGAUCGUUUCGAUAUUACUUCAUGGACCUGAAAUUGGAACUGAUAUUGAUUAUUAAUAUCGAUCUCUUCUCAACGCUUUCGUUUUUUUUUUUUUUUUUUUUU
Molecule: RNA transcript, 1155 nt
Organism: Osmia lignaria (orchard mason bee)
Lineage: Eukaryota; Metazoa; Arthropoda; Insecta; Hymenoptera; Megachilidae
Gene name: L-xylulose reductase
Source: RefSeq, a predicted model, not a curated record